GCCACUCCCUUUGUAAUGAACCAAACACUGAAGGGAGAUUUGAUGUCCAGGAGCCCACUACAUCUUCUCAAUCUUGGUUCACCAGGGCUUGGCACUGAGAUAUGAGUUAUAUAGCAUAGGAUCUUGGUGGUCAGCAAGAAUAGUGAAAAUUUUGGGGAGGCACAUGGAAGUGAUGAGAACUUGCCUUUGGAUCCAUCAGAGCACAUUUGUGAUGGGCACACGGGUAGGAGGACAGCUCCUCAGCUCUCCAGUCUGAUUAUGUUUCCCAGUGGUCAUCAUAAGCCUGGUUCACAUAUGGAGUGAAUUAGGCCAUUAUUUCUGCCACUGUUCAUCAAAAAAGAAGCCCUGGGCAAAAUUGCUGAUGCUAUCACACGGAAAAGGGCUGACUGUAUACUCCUUCUACUGAGAAAAAAAGUUAACAGUACAACAGCCUCAGGUGGGUCCUUCAGAAGAUAUUCCAGAAGAAGCCACUGUUAUUACAGGAGAUGACAGCUCCA
This is a non-coding RNA of Microcebus murinus (gray mouse lemur), 497 nucleotides long. The record is from RefSeq and is a predicted model, not a curated record. NCBI's taxonomy places the organism in Eukaryota, Metazoa, Chordata, Mammalia, Primates, Cheirogaleidae.